CUACGGGAGGCAGCAGUGGGGAAUUUUGGACAAUGGGGGCAACCCUGAUCCAGCCAUGCCGCGUGAGUGAAGAAGGCCUUCGGGUUGUAAAGCUCUUUCGGCCGGGAAGAAAUCGCGUUGGCUAAUACCCAGCGUGGAUGACGGUACCGGAAUAAGAAGCACCGGCUAACUACGUGCCAGCAGCCGCGGUAAUACGUAGGGUGCGAGCGUUAAUCGGAAUUACUGGGCGUAAAGCGUGCGCAGGCGGUUUUUUAAGAUAGGCGUGAAAUCCCCGGGCUCAACCUGGGAACUGCGCUUAUGACUGGAAGACUAGAGUAUGGCAGAGGGGGGUGGAAUUCCACGUGUAGCAGUGAAAUGCGUAGAGAUGUGGAGGAACACCGAUGGCGAAGGCAGCCCCCUGGGCCAAUACUGACGCUCAUGCACGAAAGCGUGGGGAGCAAACAGGAUUAGAUACCCCGGUAGUCGC
This 466-nucleotide ribosomal RNA is filed under the name Pseudomonas sp. DCB_PUT. RNAcentral's name for it is "bacterial SSU rRNA". It matches the Rfam family "Bacterial small subunit ribosomal RNA", at positions 339 to 797 of the family's 1533-position model. The record is from RNAcentral. Lineage: Bacteria; Pseudomonadati; Pseudomonadota; Gammaproteobacteria; Pseudomonadales; Pseudomonadaceae.